GAAGGGCUGUGGAUCAGUGAUAGAACAUCUGCUUUGUAUGCAGAAGGUCUCAAGUUCAAUCCUCAGUAUCUUUA
This 74-nucleotide transfer RNA is filed under the name Sphaerodactylus townsendi. RNAcentral describes it as "tRNA-Thr". It matches the Rfam family "tRNA". From Rfam's summary of the family: Transfer RNA (tRNA) molecules are approximately 80 nucleotides in length. Their secondary structure includes four short double-helical elements and three loops (D, anti-codon, and T loops). The record is from RNAcentral. Lineage: Eukaryota; Metazoa; Chordata; Lepidosauria; Squamata; Sphaerodactylidae.